AACUCCUUUUCUUGUACCUGCAGAAGUAGAUUGAUAAAUGUUAUGGGUUUUAUGGAGUGUCCCAACGUCUCCUUCUAGCUCUGGAACUUUAAUGUCUUCCGAUUGACAUAGCUCUACACACUGCUGAGUUAGCUGAUUUGUAGCUAUAGACUUCAGUUUAUCUUCAUUAGUCUUUAGCUUUUCUAUCUCAUUACCCAUACUGUCCACUUUCAUUGAAAGCGUAGUUAGGGUGUUAAGUAUUUUUUCUAGAGUAUCUUCCUCUACUAUUUCAGUCUGUGUAGCUUUGUCUUGAUAUGUAAUCUGCAAUAACAUUUUUGUUAGUACUGAUCACUUCAAUUGUAAAUGUGAAAUUUAAUAUAUUUAAAACUAGU
RNAcentral lists this long non-coding RNA (371 nucleotides) under Capsicum annuum. RNAcentral describes it as "long non-coding RNA (CANN_LNC010457)". Lineage: Eukaryota; Viridiplantae; Streptophyta; Magnoliopsida; Solanales; Solanaceae. The record is from RNAcentral.